Molecule: ribosomal RNA, 483 nt
Filed under: uncultured bacterium
Lineage: Bacteria
Description: partial 16S ribosomal RNA
Rfam family: Bacterial small subunit ribosomal RNA
Source: RNAcentral
GAUGAACGCUGGCGGCGUGCCUAAUACGUGCAAGUCGAGCGAACCACUUCGGUGGUGAGCGGCGAACGGGUGAGUAACACGUAGGUGAUCUGCCCAUCAGACGGGGACAACGAUUGGAAACGAUCGCUAAUACCGGAUAGGACGAAAGUUUAAAGGUGCUUCUGGCACCGCUGAUGGAUGAGCCUGCGGCGCAUUAGCUAGUUGGUAGGGUAAAGGCCUACCAAGGCGACGAUGCGUAGCCGACCAGAGAGGGUGAACGGCCACACUGGGACUGAGACACGGCCCAGACUCCUACGGGAGGCGGCAGUAGGGAAUCUUCGGCAAUGGGCGAAAGCCUGACCGAGCAACGCCGCGUGAAUGAUGAAGGCCUUCGGGUUGUAAAAUUCUGUUAUAAGGGAAGAACGACUUUAGUAGGAAAUGGCUAGAGUGUGACGGUACCUUAUGAGAAAGCCACGGCUAACUACGUGCCAGCCGCCGCGGUAA